This 390-nucleotide long non-coding RNA is filed under the name Fragaria vesca (wild strawberry). RNAcentral describes it as "long non-coding RNA (FVES_LNC005382)". Lineage: Eukaryota; Viridiplantae; Streptophyta; Magnoliopsida; Rosales; Rosaceae. The record is from RNAcentral.
AAAUGAAUACAGUCGAUUCAGACGUCUACAAUAAGACCUACCUUAAACUUCAAAAGGAAAUGGAGGAGGCGGACGUCUACAAUAAGACCUACAAUAAACUUCAGAAGGAAAUUGAGGAGGCAGACGUCUACAAUAAGACCUACAAUAAACUUAAGAAGGAAAUAGAGGAGGCGGACGUCUACAAUAAGACCUACGAUAAACUUCAGAAGGAAAUGGAGGAGGCAGACGUCUACAAUAAGACCUACAAUAAACUUCAGAGGGAGAUGGAGGAGGCGGACGUCUACAAUAAGACUUUGUUUCGGCUCCAGAAAGAAACAGAGGAGGCAGACGUCUACAACAAGACAUUGCUUCGGCUCCAGAAGGAAGCACAGGACGCGGACGUCUACAAUA